UUCUUCAGAGAGUUUUAGUCGUU
RNAcentral lists this microRNA (23 nucleotides) under Cavia porcellus (domestic guinea pig). Its description in RNAcentral is "cpo-miR-509a-5p". Its record names the gene cpo-miR-509a-5p. Lineage: Eukaryota; Metazoa; Chordata; Mammalia; Rodentia; Caviidae. The record is from miRBase by way of RNAcentral.